RNAcentral lists this transfer RNA (72 nucleotides) under Canis lupus familiaris (dog). It matches the Rfam family "tRNA". From Rfam's summary of the family: Transfer RNA (tRNA) molecules are approximately 80 nucleotides in length. Their secondary structure includes four short double-helical elements and three loops (D, anti-codon, and T loops). The record is from Rfam by way of RNAcentral. Lineage: Eukaryota; Metazoa; Chordata; Mammalia; Carnivora; Canidae. RNAcentral also lists the same sequence under 1 other name.
GUCUGGUUGGCUCAGUUGGUAGAGCAUAGACUCUUGAUCUCAGGGUUGUGAGUUCAAGCCCCACAUUGGCCA